UCAGAGGUCGGGUUAAAAGAAGUAU
Molecule: non-coding RNA, 25 nt
Filed under: Mus musculus (house mouse)
Lineage: Eukaryota; Metazoa; Chordata; Mammalia; Rodentia; Muridae
Source: RNAcentral